UACGUAGGGGGCAAGCGUUGUUCGGAAUUACUGGGCGUAAAGGGCGCGUAGGCGGCACAGCAAGUCGGAAGUGAAAGCCCGGGGCUCAACCCCGGAAUGUCUUUCGAAACUGCUGAGCUAGAGUGCAGAAGAGGCAACUGGAAUUCCCAGUGUAGCGGUGAAAUGCGUAGAUAUUGGGAAGAACACCUGAGGCGAAGGCGGGUUGCUGGGCUGACACUGACGCUGAGGUGCGAAAGCGUGGGGAGCAAACAGG
RNAcentral lists this ribosomal RNA (253 nucleotides) under uncultured bacterium. Its description in RNAcentral is "partial 16S ribosomal RNA". It matches the Rfam family "Bacterial small subunit ribosomal RNA", at positions 524 to 776 of the family's 1533-position model. The record is from RNAcentral.